Molecule: small nucleolar RNA, 94 nt
Filed under: Escovopsis weberi
Lineage: Eukaryota; Fungi; Ascomycota; Sordariomycetes; Hypocreales; Hypocreaceae
Description: A. fumigatus snoRNA Afu_264
Rfam family: A. fumigatus snoRNA Afu_264
Source: Rfam by way of RNAcentral
UAUCAUGAUGACAUAAACACACUUGUUUUUAUAAUUUCUGGUACCUCUUAUGUUAGGGCCUUACCGGCUCAAUGAAUUAAACGGACUUCUGAUC